AACCAUGGGAAACGAUGCUAAAUACCGCAUGAUGCNUACGGGCCAAAGAGGGGGACUUUCGGGCCUCUCGCGUCAGGAUAUGCCUAGGUGGGAUUAGCUAGUUGGUGAGGUAAGGGCUCACCAAGGCGACGAUCCCUAGCUGGUCUGAGAGGAUGAUCAGCCACACUGGAACUGAGACACGGUCCAGACUCCUACGGGAGGCAGCAGUGGGGAAUAUUGCACAAUGGGCGCAAGCCUGAUGCAGCCAUGCCGCGUGUGUGAAGAAGGCCUUCGGGUUGUAAAGCACUUUCAGUCGUGAGGAAGGUAGUGUAGUUAAUAGCUGCAUUAUUUGACGUUAGCGACAGAAGAAGCACCGGCUAACUCCGUGCCAGCAGCCGCGGUAAUACGGAGGGUGCGAGCGUUAAUCGGAAUUACUGGGCGUAAAGCGCAUGCAGGUGGUUUGUUAAGUCAGAUGUGAAAGCCCGGGGCUCAACCUCGGAAUAGCAUUUGAAACUGGCAGACUAGAGUACUGUAGAGGGGGGUAGAAUUUCAGGUGUAGCGGUGAAAUGCGUAGAGAUCUGAAGGAAUACCGGUGGCGAAGGCGGCCCCCUGGACAGAUACUGACACUCAGAUGCGAAAGCGUGGGGAGCAAACAGGAUUAGAUACCCUGGUAGUCCACGCCGUAAACGAUGUCUACUUGGAGGUUGUGGCCUUGAGCCGUGGCUUUCGGAGCUAACGCGUUAAGUAGACCGCCUGGGGAGUACGGUCGCAAGAUUAAAACUCAAAUGAAUUGACGGGGGCCCGCACAAGCGGUGGAGCAUGUGGUUUAAUUCGAUGCAACGCGAAGAACCUUACCUACUCUUGACAUCCAGAGAACUUUCCAGAGAUGGAUUGGUGCCUUCGGGAACUCUGAGACAGGUGCUGCAUGGC
This 909-nucleotide ribosomal RNA is filed under the name Vibrio sp. CI1Sg. RNAcentral's name for it is "bacterial SSU rRNA". It matches the Rfam family "Bacterial small subunit ribosomal RNA", at positions 145 to 1049 of the family's 1533-position model. Lineage: Bacteria; Pseudomonadati; Pseudomonadota; Gammaproteobacteria; Vibrionales; Vibrionaceae. The record is from RNAcentral.